RNAcentral lists this long non-coding RNA (698 nucleotides) under Sus scrofa (pig). RNAcentral's name for it is "lncRNA (ENSSSCG00045011486.1)". Lineage: Eukaryota; Metazoa; Chordata; Mammalia; Artiodactyla; Suidae. The record is from RNAcentral.
GUUAAAGGGAAUGGGUCUCGGAAGCCGAGGGUCUGAAGUUCAAGACUCCUAGAAGGGGAGGGGAAUGAAAGCCACUCAGUGAAGAAGGUAAAACAAAUACAGUCUAUCUCUGACUUACAAUGGUUCGCCCUAAGAUUUUUGGACUUCAUGAUGGUGUGAAAGCAAUAUGAAUUCAGUAGAAACCGAACUUCAAAUUUUUGAAUUUUCCUCUGUUCCCAAGCUAGGGAUGUACUAUUGGAUACGCUCGGAUACCCUCUUGUAUGCUGGACAGUGGCAGCAAGCAGCUCCCAGUCGGCCAUGCAAUCAGGAGGGUAAACAAUGGACACACUUCCAAUUAUUCCGGACCCAGACGACCAUUCCUCUUUCACCUUCAGUACAGUAUUUGAUGAAUUGCAUGAGAUAUCGAACACUUCAUUAUAAAAUAGGCUUUGUGGGAGUUCCCGUCAUGGCGCAGUGGUUAAUGAAUCCGACUAGGAACCAUGAGGUUGCGGGUUUGGUCCCUGUCCUUGCUCAGUGGGUUGAGGAUCCGGCGGUGUCGUGAGCUGUGGUGUAGGUUGCAGAUGCAGCUCGGAUCCUGCAUUGCUGUGGCUGUGGCAUAGGCCGGUGGCUGCAGCUCUGAUUCGACCCCUGGCCUGGGAACCUCCAUAUGCCGCUGGAUUGGCUCAAGAAAUAGCAAAAAGACAAAAAAAAAAAAAAAA